UCCUACGGGGGGCAGCAGUGAGGAAUAUUGGUCAAUGGGCGGGAGCCUGAACCAGCCAAGCCGCGUGAGGGAAGAAGGUACAGCGUAUCGUAAACCUCUUUUGUCAGGGAACAAAGGCGGGGACUCGUCCCCGGAUGAGGGUACCUGAAGAAAAAGCAUCGGCUAACUCCGUGCCAGCAGCCGCGGUAAUACGGAGGAUGCGAGCGUUAUCCGGAUUUAUUGGGUUUAAAGGGUGCGCAGGCGGCCUGUUAAGUCAGCGGUCAAAGCCCGGGGCUCAACCCCGGCGCGCCGUUGAAACUGGCAGG
RNAcentral lists this ribosomal RNA (305 nucleotides) under uncultured bacterium. RNAcentral's name for it is "bacterial SSU rRNA". It matches the Rfam family "Bacterial small subunit ribosomal RNA", at positions 337 to 640 of the family's 1533-position model. The record is from RNAcentral.